RNAcentral lists this long non-coding RNA (1072 nucleotides) under Marmota monax (woodchuck). Lineage: Eukaryota; Metazoa; Chordata; Mammalia; Rodentia; Sciuridae. The record is from RNAcentral.
GUAACUUACAGAUUGAGUCCAAGCUUAGAAUAGAUUGCCUUUGGUAAAAAAUAUGGGGAUCCAUAUGCUUCCUUGUAACACUGUUAGCAUCCUUCCUGCUUCAACUCAGGAAUAUUACUGUUAACUAUUUCAUGCACAUUUGCAUGGGGGUAACAAUGCGUUUAGCUGGAAUGUGGAUACUGGCAGUGAUCUUAAAAGUAAUCCAUCAACUUCUCUGUUUUUAAAUAAAUGACAUCAGUUUAUGGAUUUUUUUGAGGGGUCUAGAACUUUCAGUGUUAGAGAAUAUAUAUCCUGUCACCCCUUGGUAUCUCCUUUUGUUCCUUGUCAUUUUGCCUUUUGCUUUACACGUGUGCCUUCUUCUGCAACCCUAGUUUACUCUUCCUAGUGGAGGUCACCUCUUAAGUCCUUAAAGGUUGUGUAUAUUAACUGUGGGAGAAAAAUAAGCAGGAGGGAAAGAGGGGACCCUUGUCUAGGACAUAAUGUGAGAUGCACUGGGGAGAGUGUAUCUUGUUGGAAUUUCUUACUCCAGGAGUGGUAGGCUCCACUUGUUCCUCAUGACAUGGCUUGGUGGCACUGGAUCUCCUCAAGGGGACGGAGGGACUCCAGGGUCUAAUUUGGAAUAGGCAGUCUCAGGUUGUCUGGUCUGAUGGGUGGAAUACACAGCCAUAUGUUCCAACAAGUUCAUCAUGGAAGUCUGAUGGUCUGGCAACUGGAGGUCAAGCAUCUCUGACCACACUCAGUUGAGAACACAGAGAGGACAGCGGUAUCUGGUCCUGGGGAUGGAGGGCUGGCCAGAGCUGGGGACCACUCGCAGGACUGAGGGAUUAUUCAAUCCUCAGUAGGUGGAUAUAUGCUUAUGGGGGAGGAAAGUUGGCAAAGGGAGUUCUGGAACAGCCAGAGAGAGGGAGAAUGAUUUUAAAAUCUCACCCAAUGUGGUUCACUAAUAUGGAAAUUGAAUUUGUCAUCUGAUUCGUGGGUACAUGGGUGGGAAACUGGCAACAAAGAAGGAGAUCAGGAGUUUGGUAAAUAUCAAAGUGGAUUAGAAGGUGAGGAGCCAGAGAGGAAGAGCAUG